Molecule: long non-coding RNA, 1667 nt
Organism: Gallus gallus (chicken)
Lineage: Eukaryota; Metazoa; Chordata; Aves; Galliformes; Phasianidae
Source: Ensembl
AAACAAAAUGAAGCUAUUAAAUAUUUUAAGUACCAUCUGAUUUCCAAAUAGGAAUAAAUUUUUAUGAGAUCACAACCUGGAAUAAAGGAAAAGAAUUGCUGAACAGCAAUCAGGAGAUAGAGGUCCACUGCAGAAGCAGACAGACUAUGGCACAGGAGAAAAGUCACUUUUAUUUAUGUAGUGGUCCUUGCACGGGGAAAAAAAGUGGUGCUCAGAGCUCCAGUAGACAGUGCUUUCUGAGAAAGAUAAUCUCCCUUUCCCUAUUUAAGUCCCCUCCCCUUCGGACCUCGGAGGUAAAAUAAAUCUUAAUCAUCAGCUCUGGUUGUUGGCUGGGGGUUUUCCAAGGCAGCCAAUAUCUAAUUUCCCUCUUUUUGUCUGAAUGUAAAAGGUGAGGCUCUUUUCAAGAUAUCCUAUUUCUCUUAUUCCCUGUAUCUGUUAGUCAGCCCUUGCUGAUUAUUUUUUGCUGUAUCAAGCUACAGUAUAUUAAAAGUGCUCUCCUCUCAAAUGAAAUGUCUUACAAUUUAAAUCUCUUACUAGGAGUGUCAGCAUUGCCAUGGGACAUCUCCAUCCUCCCAAAGCAAACAAAAUUGACACAGUUGAUUUGGUGUAUAAAUGUCUGCAGCUUUAUUAAAUAUGCAUUAAAGUGCAACAGUCAUAAAUUACAUGCACUCAGCCCACUCAGAACAUAAUGUGUACAGCUAAAUAACUUUCUGACUGUACAACCUAAGCAAUAAGGCCAGCCUAAAGACUGACUGGAAGCUGAAAGUCAGUUCCCUAAAGCGGAUGCUAUUGGAGUAUCAUUUUAUCACACUGUAAGCACCUCACCUCUCGUGUGGUGUAUAUAUGAGUAAAGGGGGGAGGAAAGGGAAAAUGAGAUCUCUGUAUUACUUUUACUUUAAAUUAUCUAUUUCAUUUGCUAGUGUGUGCAUUCCUUGACAUGGAAGGAUAAGCUAUUUGAUUCUUGCAGAUUUCUGUUUACUGUAUGGAAGGAAAACCCUCUCAAAUAAGGAAAUAUUUGUUGCUGAUUAUACUAGUGCUAAUUUAUACCUUGUUUUUAAAUAUCAAUUUAAACCCCAAAUAUGCUAAUGUCUUUCAAAAGCUGCAUGCAUAUAUAUAUACUGGGAUUAUGAGGGGUGUUCGAAAAGCAGUGCCUCCUAUGUUAUUAUGUUGGCCCACAAAAGCAGAGGCAGACACUCGUGGUUCAGCAGUAGAGGUUGAACUUUCCCACCAAUAUUCAGUUUAAUUUUGUUGCUGUGCAACAGAUGGCAGCAAAGGGGCUGUCUGACAAAAUGGUGUCUGACAUAAAAGUACAUGUGAAGAAAAAGUGUGUAACUGAAUUCCUCCAUGUGGAAAAAAUGGCAUCCAUUAGCAUUCAUUGACACUCGCUGAGCGUAUGCUCAGACCAAGCGAUGGAUGUGAGAACAGUGAGGUGGUGGGUGGUGCAUUUCAGCAGUGACAACUGUGACGUGACAGUAGAUCACCUCCACUGUUGCAGAUUUUGAGUGUGACUUGCAGGCUCUUGUUCAUUGCUGACAAAAAUGCAUAUCUAAUCAUGGUGACUGUAUUGAAAAAUAGGGUUUUGUAGCUGAGAAGUUGUUCUACCACACAGAAAUAUUGUACUCUUUGUAUCUGUUGUUUCCAUGGAAAUAAAUAUGAGGCAUUACUUU